ACUUAAUGGAAGUCUUUUUAAUGCAAUGGUGGCACCGAAUUUACCUCGUGGAGUGAAGAAAACAAGAUCAGCAACCUCUCCUUCAAAAUACAAGAAAAGCAAUGAAAUUCUCAUUUUGAAGAAUUUCACAAAAAUUACCAAGAUCCUUGUAAGUAAAAACUUCCAUGAAAAUUAUAAUUGAGCAUAGAUUGAGGCAUGUGAAUAGUCGAUCUUAGCUUAAAAAGGUGUUUUGAACACAAUUGUGAAGUUAGAUUUACAAAAAAAUGCUUUCUUGACCACUUACAAGAGCCAUCAGCCUUGGUAACGAGAUUGGCUCUUGGAUGAAUGAAGGCCAUAGAUUUAGUUUAGGGAUCUUAAAAAUCAAGGGUGGAGAUGUAGCCACCCUUCUACGAGCCUCCACUCAAUUGUAUAAGAGAGGCUUGGUUUUCCAAGCCCUCUCUCUCUCCUCUUUUGGAUGAAGGGUGGAGCCAUACCAAAAUUUGGCCAAAACCCUAAUCUUAAUUUUAUUCAGAUUUUAAUUCUCAUUGUGAACCUUGUGAUUGUAUAUGUAUGGAUUUUGCAUUGUGAAGGAUGGUCAUUAAGUUUUAAAAUAUGUUUCAUUGAGGUAGAUAUCUCCUCGGUCUUCCAAAUACCCCAAAGGUUUUAAGGGCCUCGGAUUUUCUUCAAUUUGUCACUCAAUUUCUAUUGUCUCAAUGUGAGAUUCUGAAUAGUUGUAGCUUUUGUUGUUAGCUUUCCAAAAAAGAUAAGAAUUUCUUGAUUUGGAGUAGGAAGAAAUUUUUGGUGAAUUUUUGAAUUUGAGGGAGUCGACUACCUUUGCAGUUUGAAUCAAUCAA
Molecule: long non-coding RNA, 833 nt
Filed under: Physcomitrium patens
Lineage: Eukaryota; Viridiplantae; Streptophyta; Bryopsida; Funariales; Funariaceae
Description: long non-coding RNA (PPAT_LNC013783)
Source: RNAcentral